AAAUCAUAUUGAGAUCACCAGUUCACGUUCGAUCAAAGAAGUUAAGCAGUGUCGUGCCCAGUCAGUAUUUAGAUGGGAGACCACUUGGAAACAUAGCGUACUGUAA
Molecule: non-coding RNA, 106 nt
Organism: Acanthosepion pharaonis
Lineage: Eukaryota; Metazoa; Mollusca; Cephalopoda; Sepiida; Sepiidae
Source: the annotation of a GenBank genome assembly